UGACUGCGGAGGAUCAUUAACGAACAGAAAGGACUUUGGAUAAAGUCCUUUCAUCCUACAUACAAACACCUGUGCACCCUUCGUAGCCUCUCUCGCAAGAGGGCAGUCUAUGUUCCUAACGUACUCUAUGUACUACUAUACACAAUCUAAGGCCAGAAUGUUAAACAAUUACAACUUUCAGCAACGGAUCUCUUGGCUCUCGCAUCGAUGAAGAACGCAGCGAAUCGCGAUAAGUAAUGUGAAUUGCAGAUUUCCAGUGAAUCAUCGAAUCUUUGAACGCACUUUGCGCUCCUUGGUACUCCGAGGAGCAUGCCUGUUUGAGUGUCAUAUUAUUCUCAACCAUGUCUUGAUUCAUUUCAAGCCAUGGCUUGGAUUUGGGAGCUUGCCGGCCUCGCGGUCGACUCUCCUUAAAUGCAUUAGCGAAUAGGUCGUGUCAGUGGGUCUGGCGGGCAAUCAAUAGCCUUUCGACGUGAUAACAUCGUAUAUCGGANUCGAGGCUCGCGCGUCGGGUGUAAGACAUGUUCUCUGUUUGCUUCCAAUCCCCAACCUGCUUAGCUAGUAGUCGGUCGAUCUCUCCAGGAGAAGACGCCUUCGAACACGAACGCAGAC
RNAcentral lists this unclassified non-coding RNA (609 nucleotides) under uncultured fungus. Its description in RNAcentral is "sequence contains ITS1, 5.8S rRNA gene, ITS2". The stretch from base 173 to 327 matches the Rfam family "5.8S ribosomal RNA". The record is from RNAcentral. Lineage: Eukaryota; Fungi.